Nicotiana attenuata is the source of this 518-nucleotide long non-coding RNA. RefSeq lists it as uncharacterized. The record is from RefSeq and is a predicted model, not a curated record. NCBI's taxonomy places the organism in Eukaryota, Viridiplantae, Streptophyta, Magnoliopsida, Solanales, Solanaceae. The transcript is spliced from 3 exons.
AACAAAACCUAUUCCCUUCAUCGAACGGGAAAGGGAAGACGGCUAGAAACAAAAUCAAGCGGACACAAUAUAACAAAAUCACGCAGACACAAUAAAUUUACGGCAGAGAUAAUCUUCUUCCCCAGGAACUCAAGAACUUCUCAAAAGUCUUGAGUUCUGCUGGCCGCAACUCUAUUCUACCGUAGAAUAUUGUGAAAAGUCUUAUCUUCAAAACGAGCAGAAACAAAUAACCAAAUAGGGAACCUGACACACUUGGUACACAUUGCUAAUCAACGGACUCCAGCUGAUAUGAACUGCUACAACUUCAGAAGAUAGAGAACCAACACAGGGACCUGAUCCCUUGUGUUUCCCUGACAGCAGUACAAAGUCAACUGUGUACAGCUGAAAAGUGAAUGCCUGCACUGUACAUAGAAACAGUGCAGCGCAAUUCUGCAGUCACUUGUCCUUUGACCAACCAAGUGAUUACAUCAUUCAAGUGAUAUCAUCCAAGUUGUAUUAACAAGAAUAUUACAACAGAA